This 207-nucleotide ribosomal RNA is filed under the name uncultured bacterium. Its description in RNAcentral is "partial 16S ribosomal RNA". It matches the Rfam family "Bacterial small subunit ribosomal RNA", at positions 524 to 730 of the family's 1533-position model. The record is from RNAcentral.
GACAGAGGGUGCAAACGUUGUUCGGAAUUACUGGGCGUAAAGCGAGUGUAGGCGGUGUGGUAAGUCGGAUGUGAAAGCCCCGGGCUCAACCCGGGGAAGUGCACUCGAUACUGCCACGCUAGAGUAUCGGAGAGGUUGGUGGAAUUCUCGGUGUAGAGGUGAAAUUCGUAGAUAUCAGGAGGAACACCAUGGCGAAGGCAGCUCGCU